UACAGAGGAGCCAAGCGUUGUCCGGAUUGACUGGGCGUAAAGCGCACGCAGGCGGUUUGGCGCGUGGGGUGUGAAAUCUGGCCGCUUAACGGCCAGGCGCCAUCCCAUACGGCGAAACUGGAGUGAUGCAGAGGUCGAUGGAAUUGCCGGUGUAGUGGUGGAAUGCGUAGAUAUCGGGAGGAACACCAGUGGCGAAGGCGGUUGCCUGGGGCUUUGCUGACGCUGAUGCGCGAAAGCGUGGGGAGCGAUCCGG
This 253-nucleotide ribosomal RNA is filed under the name uncultured bacterium. RNAcentral's name for it is "partial 16S ribosomal RNA". It matches the Rfam family "Bacterial small subunit ribosomal RNA", at positions 524 to 776 of the family's 1533-position model. The record is from RNAcentral.